GACGAACGCUGGCGGCGUGCUUAACACAUGCAAGUCGAGCGAGGCCCCUCCUUCGGGAGGGUGUCCUAGCGGCGAACGGGUGAGUAACACGUGGGCAACCUGCCCUCAGCUCUGGGAUAACUCCGGGAAACCGGGGCUAAUACCGGAUACGACCUCCACGGGCAUCUGCGGAGGUGGAAAGUUUUUCGGCUGAGGAUGGGCCCGCGGCCUAUCAGCUAGUUGGUGGGGUAGUUGCCCACCAAGGCGACGACGGGUAGCCGGCCUGAGAGGGCGACCGGCCACACUGGGACUGAGACACGGCCCAGACUCCUACGGGAGGCAGCAGUGGGGAAUAUUGCGCAAUGGGCGAAAGCCUGACGCAGCGACGCCGCGUGAGGGACGAAGGCCUUCGGGUUGUAAACCUCUUUCAGCAGGGACGAAGCGAAAGUGACGGUACCUGCAGAAGAAGCACCGGCCAACUACGUG
This 465-nucleotide ribosomal RNA is filed under the name uncultured bacterium. RNAcentral describes it as "partial 16S ribosomal RNA". It matches the Rfam family "Bacterial small subunit ribosomal RNA", at positions 28 to 507 of the family's 1533-position model. The record is from RNAcentral.